RNAcentral lists this ribosomal RNA (358 nucleotides) under uncultured fungus. Its description in RNAcentral is "eukaryotic LSU rRNA". It matches the Rfam family "Eukaryotic large subunit ribosomal RNA", at positions 40 to 398 of the family's 3401-position model. Lineage: Eukaryota; Fungi. The record is from RNAcentral.
AUAUCAAUAAGCGGAGGAAAAGAAACCAACAGGGAUUGCCUCAGUAACGGCGAGUGAAGCGGCAACAGCUCAAAUUUGAAAUCUGGCCCUGCGGCCUGAGUUGUAAUUUGUAGAGGAUGCUUCGAGCGUGGUCUGGUCUAAGUUCCUUGGAACAGGACGUCAUAGAGGGUGAGAAUCCCGUAUGCGACUGGGUGCCUAAGCUUGUGUGAAGCUCCUUCGACGAGUCGAGUUGUUUGGGAAUGCAGCUCAAAAUGGGUGGUAAAUUUCAUCUAAAGCUAAAUAUUGGCCAGAGACCGAUAGCGCACAAGUAGAGUGAUCGAAAGAUGAAAAGCACUUUGGAAAGAGAGUUAAACAGUAC